GAUGAACGCUGGCGGCGUGCCUAAUACAUGCAAGUCGAGCGAACGGACGAGAAGCUUGCUUCUCUGAUGUUAGCGGCGGACGGGUGAGUAACACGUGGAUAACCUACCUAUAAGACUGGGAUAACUUCGGGAAACCGGAGCUAAUACCGGAUAAUAUUUUGAACCGCAUGGUUCCAAAGUGAAAGACGGUCUUGCUGUCACUUAUAGAUGGAUCCGCGCUGCAUUAGCUAGUUGGUAAGGUAACGGCUUACCAAGGCAACGAUGCAUAGCCGACCUGAGAGGGUGAUCAGCCACACUGGAACUGAGACACGGUCCAGACUCCUACGGGAGGCAGCAGUAGGGAAUCUUCCGCAAUGGGCGAAAGCCUGACGGAGCAACGCCGCGUGAGUGAUGAAGGUCUUCGGAUCGUAAAACCCUGUUAUUAGGGAAGAACAUAUGUGUAAGUAACUGUGCACAUCUUGACGGUACCUAAUCAGAAAGCCACGGCUAACUACGUG
RNAcentral lists this ribosomal RNA (497 nucleotides) under uncultured bacterium. RNAcentral describes it as "partial 16S ribosomal RNA". It matches the Rfam family "Bacterial small subunit ribosomal RNA", at positions 28 to 507 of the family's 1533-position model. The record is from RNAcentral.